GGCUCUGUGGUGCAACGGACAGCGCAUUGGACUUCUAAUUCAAAGGUUGUGGGUUCGAGUCCCACCUGAGUCA
This 73-nucleotide transfer RNA is filed under the name Oreochromis niloticus (Nile tilapia). RNAcentral's name for it is "tRNA-Arg (TCT) (tRNA-Arg-TCT-19-1)". It matches the Rfam family "tRNA". From Rfam's summary of the family: Transfer RNA (tRNA) molecules are approximately 80 nucleotides in length. The record is from RNAcentral. Lineage: Eukaryota; Metazoa; Chordata; Actinopteri; Cichliformes; Cichlidae.